UUGGGUGUAGCUCCACGGUAGAGCGCUUGCCUAGCAUGCAUGAGGCUCUGGGUUUGAUCCCCAGUACUGCAA
This 72-nucleotide transfer RNA is filed under the name Ictidomys tridecemlineatus (thirteen-lined ground squirrel). Its description in RNAcentral is "Spermophilus tridecemlineatus (thirteen-lined ground squirrel) tRNA". It matches the Rfam family "tRNA". From Rfam's summary of the family: Transfer RNA (tRNA) molecules are approximately 80 nucleotides in length. Lineage: Eukaryota; Metazoa; Chordata; Mammalia; Rodentia; Sciuridae. The record is from Rfam by way of RNAcentral.